RNAcentral lists this ribosomal RNA (1972 nucleotides) under human gut metagenome. RNAcentral's name for it is "bacterial LSU rRNA". It matches the Rfam family "Bacterial large subunit ribosomal RNA", at positions 1 to 1984 of the family's 2925-position model. The record is from RNAcentral.
UUAAGUGAACAAGGGCAUACGGCGGAUGCCUUGGCGCCAAGAGCCGAUGAAGGACGCGGUAAGCUGCGAAAAGGCAUGGGUAGGAGCAAGCAUCCAGUGAUCCAUGCAUAUCCGAAUGGGGCAACCCACCAUCAGUCAUGUGAUGGUACGAAAGAGGCAGACCUGGGGAACUGAAACAUCUAAGUACCCAGAGGAAAAGUAAUCAAUUGAGAUUCCCUAAGUAGCGGCGAGCGAAAGGGGAAGAGCCCAAACCAUGAAACUUCGGUUUUGUGGGGUUGAGGACCGGCAUAAAGAGGAAACUUCUUAGUCGAAUGGUUUGGAAAGGCCAUGCACAGAAGGUAAAACACCUGUAGGCGAAAAGAAGUCAAUCGGGCUGGUAUCCAGAGUACUGCGAGACACGUGAAACCUUGCAGGAAGCAGGGGGGACCACCCUCCAAGGCAAAAUACUACUUGGCGACCGAUAGCGCAUAGUACCGUGAGGGAAAGGUGAAAAGAACCCCGGGAGGGGAGUGAAAUAGAACCUGAAACCGUAUGUCUACAAGCAGUCGAAGCACCUUAAGAGUGCGACGGCGUGCCUAUUGAAGAAUGAACCGGCGAGUUACAUUAUGUUGCGAGGUUAAGUGGGAGACACGGAGCCGAAGCGAAAGCGAGUCUUAAUAGGGCGACUAGUAACAUGGUGUAGACCCGAAACCGCAGUGAUCUAUCCAUGGUCAGGUUGAAGCGCAGGUAAAAAUGCGUGGAGGACCGAACCCGUGAGUGUUGAAAAACUUUGGGAUGAACCGUGGAUAGGGGUGAAAUGCCAAUCGAACGCGGAGAUAGCUGGUACUCCCCGAAAUAGCUUUAGGGCUAGCCUCAGGGAAGAUUAUAGACGGUAGAGCACUGAUCUGGCAAGGGGGCGUAAAGCCUACCGACCCUAGUCAAACUUCGAAUGGCUAUAAUUAAGACCCUGGGAGUCAGACUGCGAGUGAUAAGACCCGUAGUCAAGAGGGAAACAGCCCAGACCGCCGACUAAGGUCCCCAAUGCUGUACUAAGUGGAAAAGGAUGUAAGACUUCAUAAACAACCAGGAUGUUGGCUUAGAAGCAGCCACCAUUAAAAGAGUGCGUAAUAGCUCACUGGUCGAGAGGCCUUGCGCCGAAGAUGUCCGGGGCUCAAGUACAGAACCGAAGUCGCGGCAGGAUUAUAUAAUUCUGGGUAGGGGAGCGUUGUAUAUCCGACUGAAGGUGUACCGGAAGGAGCGCUGGAGGAUAUACAAGAGAGAAUGCCGGUAUGAGUAGCGAAAAGAACAGUGAGAAUCUGUUCCACCGAAAGCCUAAGGUUUCCUGAGCAACGCUCGUCGACUCAGGGUAAGUCGGGACCUAAGCCGAGGCAAAAAGCAUAGGCGAUGGACAACAGGUUAAUAUUCCUGUACCGCUUCAAAUCGUUUGAGCAAUGGAGUGACACAGAAGGUAGCUUGAGCACGCGAAUGGAUGUGCGUGUCGAAGGUGGUAGGUUGCAGUAUAGGUAAAUCCGUACUGUAUAAGACCGAGAACUGAUAGAUAGAUGAUACUUCGGUAAAGUCAAAUUCAAGUGAGCCAUGCUGUCGAGAAAAGCUUCUAGUGAGAGAUGAGGCGCCCGUACCGAAACCGACACAGGUAGGCGGGGAGAGAAUCCUAAGGUGCGCGGGACAACCCUCGUUAAGGAACUCGGCAAAUUGUAUCCGUAACUUAGGGAUAAGGAUAGCCGGAGGAUGUGAAGGGAUUUACUUCUGGAGCGUCAGCCGGUGGCACAAGAGAGGCCCAAGCGACUGUUUAGCACAAACACAGGUGCCUGCAAAAGAGAAAUCUGACGUAUAGGUGCUGACACCUGCCCGGUGCUGGAAGGUUAAGAGGAGGGCUUAGAGGAAACUCGAAGGCUUGAAUUGAAGCCCCAGUAAACGGCGGCCGUAACUAUAACGGUCCUAAGGUAGCGAAAUUCCUUGUCGGGUAAGUUCC